UACGUAGGUGGCAAGCGUUGUUCGGAAUUAUUGGGCGUAAAGGGCGCGUAGGCGGUUUGCUAAGUCAGUUGUGAAAGUCCGGGGCUCAACUCCGGAUCUGCGGUGGGUACGGGCAGACUAGAGUGAUGUAGGGGAGACUGGAAUUCCUGGUGUAGCGGUGAAAUGCGCAGAUAUCAGGAGGAACACCGAUGGCGAAGGCAGGUCUCUGGGCAUUAACUGACGCUGAGGAGCGAAAGCAUGGGGAGCGAACAGG
Molecule: ribosomal RNA, 253 nt
Filed under: uncultured bacterium
Lineage: Bacteria
Description: partial 16S ribosomal RNA
Rfam family: Bacterial small subunit ribosomal RNA
Source: RNAcentral